This 519-nucleotide ribosomal RNA is filed under the name Afrocimex constrictus. Its description in RNAcentral is "partial 16S ribosomal RNA". It matches the Rfam family "Bacterial large subunit ribosomal RNA", at positions 1831 to 2610 of the family's 2925-position model. Lineage: Eukaryota; Metazoa; Arthropoda; Insecta; Hemiptera; Cimicidae. The record is from RNAcentral.
UCUUUUAGAUUUUAUUUAAAGUUUAACCUGCCCUAUGAUAUUUAAAUGGCCGCAGUAUAUUAACUGUGCGAAGGUAGCAUAAUCAUUUGUUUGUUAAUUGCAUACUAGUAUGAAUGGUUUGACGAGAAAAAGACUUUCUUUAUUUUAUUUUAAAUAACUUUAUUUUUUUGUUAAAAAGCAAAAAUGUUUUUAUUAGACGAUAAGACCCUAUAAAGCUUUAUUAAAUAUUAAAAAAUAAAUAUUUUAGAUAGUUUAAUAUCUUUAUUUACUAUUUAAUUUUGUUGGGGGGACAGGUAAAUUUAAUUAACUUUAUUUAUUUUAAUCGUUAAUUAACGUGUUUUUUGAUCCAUUUAUAAUGGGAAUAAGAUUAAGUUACUUUAGGGAUAACAGCGUUAUUUUGUUGGAGAGUUCAUAUUAAUAAUAAAGUUUGCGACCUCGAUGUUGGAUUAAAAUAAGUAUUUGGUGUAGGUGCUGCAUUACUAGGUCUGUUCGACCUUUAAUUUUUUACGUGAUCUGAGU